GACGUAGGGCGCGAGCGUUGUCCGGAUUUAUUGGGCGUAAAGAGCUCGUAGGCGGCUUGUUGCGUCGUCCGUGAAAACCCACGGCUUAACUGUGGGCUUGCGGUCGAUACGGGCGGGCUGGAGUUCGGUAGGGGAGACUGGAAUUCCUGGUGUAGCGGUGAAAUGCGCAGAUAUCAGGAGGAACACCGGUGGCGAAGGCGGCUCUCUGGGACGGUACUGACGCUGAGGAGCGAAAGCAUGGGGAGCAAACAGG
RNAcentral lists this ribosomal RNA (253 nucleotides) under uncultured bacterium. RNAcentral describes it as "partial 16S ribosomal RNA". It matches the Rfam family "Bacterial small subunit ribosomal RNA", at positions 524 to 776 of the family's 1533-position model. The record is from RNAcentral.